This 292-nucleotide ribosomal RNA is filed under the name uncultured bacterium. Its description in RNAcentral is "partial 16S ribosomal RNA". It matches the Rfam family "Bacterial small subunit ribosomal RNA", at positions 505 to 796 of the family's 1533-position model. The record is from RNAcentral.
GUGCCAGCCGCCGCGGUAAUACGUAGGGUGCGAGCGUUAAUCGGAAUUACUGGGCGUAAAGCGUGCGCAGGCGGCUAUUUAAGCUUGCUGUGAAAGCCCCGGGCUUAACCUGGGAACCGCAGUGAGGACUGGAUGGCUAGAGUGUGGCAGAGGGGGGUGGAAUUCCACGUGUAGCAGUGAAAUGCGUAGAGAUGUGGAGGAACACCGAUGGCGAAGGCAGCCCCCUGGGCUAACACUGACGCUCAGGCACGAAAGCGUGGGGAGCAAACAGGAUUAGAUACCCUAGUAGUCC